UUUUGCCUAGCUCAAUCGGAUUAGAGCGUGAGACUCUUACAUAAGCAGGUAUCUCAAGGUUGCGGGUUCGACCCCCGCGGUUGGUU
Molecule: non-coding RNA, 86 nt
Organism: Phellopilus nigrolimitatus
Lineage: Eukaryota; Fungi; Basidiomycota; Agaricomycetes; Hymenochaetales; Hymenochaetaceae
Source: the annotation of a GenBank genome assembly